GAUGAAGAACGCAGCGAAAUGCGAUAAGUAGUGUGAAUUGCAGAAUUCAGUGAAUCAUCGAAUCUUUGAACGCACAUUGCGCCCCUUGGUAUCCCGAGGGGCAUGCCUGUUCGAGCGUCAUUUCACCACUCAAGCCUGGCUUGGUGUUGGGCGACGUCCCCUUUGGGGACGCGCCUUGAAACGCUCGGCGGCGUGGCACCGGCUUUAAGCGUAGCAGAAUCUUUCGCUUUGGAAGUCUGGCCCCGUCUGCCGGAAGACCUACUCGCAAGGUUGACCUCGGAUCAGGCAGGGAUACCCGCUGAACUUAAGCAUAUCAAUAAGCGGAGGA
RNAcentral lists this unclassified non-coding RNA (328 nucleotides) under soil metagenome. RNAcentral's name for it is "partial contains 5.8S ribosomal RNA, internal transcribed spacer 2, and large subunit ribosomal RNA". The stretch from base 1 to 120 matches the Rfam family "5.8S ribosomal RNA", at positions 35 to 154 of the family's 154-position model. The record is from RNAcentral.